This 385-nucleotide ribosomal RNA is filed under the name uncultured bacterium. RNAcentral's name for it is "bacterial SSU rRNA". It matches the Rfam family "Bacterial small subunit ribosomal RNA", at positions 355 to 757 of the family's 1533-position model. The record is from RNAcentral.
UGGGGAAUAUUGGGCAAUGGACGAAAGUCUGACCCAGCCAUGCCGCGUGUGUGAUGACGGCCUUAGGGUUGUAAAGCACUUUCGCAGGUGAAGAUAAUGACGGUAACCUGAUAAGAAGCCCCGGCUAACUUCGUGCCAGCAGCCGCGGUAAUACGAAGGGGGCUAGCGUUGUUCGGAAUUACCGGGCGUAAAGCGCAUGUAGGCGGAUAUGCUGGCAAGGGGUGAAAUCCCGGGGCUUAACCUCGGAAUUGCCUUUUGAACUGCAUAUCUGGAGUUUUGGAGGGGAGUGCGGAAUUUCUAAUGUAGAGGUGAAAUUCGUAGAUAUUAGAAGGAACACCGGCGGCGAAGGCGGCACUCUGGACAAAUACUGACGCUGAGAUGCGAA